AAUACAACUCUAACGUUUAAUUGUAGACAAAUUUUAAGUUACACGAAAACAGGCAAACAGCGAAUCAAGUUUCGGCUAGCCGAAUGUUCAAUACACUUUUCUCGGAGAAGAAGAAGAAACAUUUCAAUAUGAAAUGCAUUUGUAAUUAUUAAUUAUUAUUCAUGCGAACCAAAACAACAACCACAAAAUGGAAACGAAAAUGAACAAAGAAAAUCAAGUUAAUGCAAAAGACGCAGACGCUGAAAAAGAAGAAGAAGAAGAAGCAUAGUUAAUAAUAUUAUAUUUUGUUAAGCGUUAUUGUAGUGCAAAAUAUAAGCAUAAAAACAAACGAGCAGACGAAAAGAAAAAAAAACAACAAAUGAAUUAAGUUUUAAGCUGGAUUAUCUAAUAUAAAUAAAACAGCAAGAAUGAGAAGAUGAUGAAGAAGAAGACGAAGAAGAAGAAGAAGAGCAACAACAGCAACAUCAACAAUUGACAACAAAACGAAAAGGUUCAUAAACAUAGUAAAAGUAACAACAAAAACAUAUAUUAUUAAUACAAAUAAAAGCAAAAACAAAACACAAAUAUAUAUAUAUUUUGUACAAAUAUAAUUAAUGACAAACGAGUAAAAAACAAAGUAAAUAAAAACAAAACGCAGCUGCAAAAACCAAGUACACUUAUUAAAGUUUAAGCAACAAAACAAACAACAACAAUUUAAUAUGCAAUUACCGUAACAGUAGUUGAUAAAUCAAAAAUAAAAACAAAAAACCAAAAUUGUAAAAUUUCAACGUAUCAAA
This is a long non-coding RNA of Drosophila albomicans, 776 nucleotides long. RefSeq lists it as uncharacterized. Lineage: Eukaryota; Metazoa; Arthropoda; Insecta; Diptera; Drosophilidae. The transcript has 2 exons. The record is from RefSeq and is a predicted model, not a curated record.